RNAcentral lists this ribosomal RNA (245 nucleotides) under uncultured Acidisoma sp. RNAcentral describes it as "partial 16S ribosomal RNA". It matches the Rfam family "Bacterial small subunit ribosomal RNA", at positions 524 to 768 of the family's 1533-position model. Lineage: Bacteria; Pseudomonadati; Pseudomonadota; Alphaproteobacteria; Acetobacterales; Acidocellaceae. The record is from RNAcentral.
UACGAAGGGGGCUAGCGUUACUCGGAUUGACUGGGCGUAAAGGGCGCGUAGGCGGCUUGUACAGUCAGGCGUGAAAUUCCUGGGCUCAACCUGGGGGCUGCGCUUGAUACGUAUGGGCUUGAGUUCGGAAGAGGGUCGUGGAAUUCCCAGUGUAGAGGUGAAAUUCGUAGAUAUUGGGAUGAACACCGGUGGCGAAGGCGGCGACCUGGUCCGAUACUGACGCUGAGGCGCGAAAGCGUGGGGAG